Molecule: small RNA, 1239 nt
Filed under: Pan troglodytes (chimpanzee)
Lineage: Eukaryota; Metazoa; Chordata; Mammalia; Primates; Hominidae
Description: processed transcript
Source: RNAcentral
GCCGCCGCACCACCUGGCUGGCUCCCUGCGCUCGGCCCGCGCUUUUUCUUGGGCGCCAUGGGUUGGUGCCUGGACCACCAGGACUUGUCCUGCACACCCAUGAAGCGACUGACCCAGCUGGUCUGAAGCACCCCACGAGGAGCCCCACUGCACCCGCGCAUCUGCCACUGGAGGGUCUCGGUUGCUCUUGGCCUUUAAAUCCCUGGUGAGAUGGAGAAACCGAGGUAAGGUACCUCAGAACCCAGGCCAGAUCCACACAAGGCUCUCGGUCAGUCCCAGAUGGAAGCUCCAGUCCCAGGCCGUGACAUGCAUCAGCUCCCACACCCAAGAUUGUCCCAGAGAAAGCGCUCUGCCCUCCCCAUCCACAGCACCACGAGGGCCAUAGCUGCACUGCCGCACCUCUCCAGCUCCAGAGACAUCCCUGAGAGGCAGCCAUCAGGAGUGCCCAGCUGAGGACACGCCUCCUUGGGGACCCUCAUUCCUGAGUCCAUGCCUCCAGAUUCACGAUCUCAGAGACAACCACAUCCGCAACUGGCAUGUGUCCCCACCGAAGGGGCUCAAGUAAGUGACUGGAGUGACCAGGGUGGAUGGGCCUGGAGUACCUGGGUCUAUAGCCCACACCCGGAGCAGGAGAGAGGGGAGAGCUGGGGUACCUGGGUCUGUAGCCCACACCCAGAGCAGGAGAGAGGGGAGACCUGGAGUACCUGUACCUGUACCUCAGCUACAGUAUCUGAGUCUGUAAGCCCAUAUCUGAAGCAGGAGAGAGGAGAGGGCCAUUUUGGAGUCCACCAGGUAGCCCCAGUAGGACAGGGAGAGGCUGUGUAUGAGAUGGGAUGGGUGGUGGGCCAUGGCUGUGACACUGGAGGGGACAGGGCGGGGAUACCUUCUCAGACUAUGACACUCAGAGGCAAGGUAGGAUCUCGGCCCACACAACAGCACACGGAUGGUGCCCUUAUGGGAGAGGGCGGGGGCCAUGCAUGGGGCCUGUGACAGCUUGGGAGGUGGGGGCCAGGGGAGUUUGGUUUCCUGGGUUACGGAAUGCUGGGUGUGUGUGAAGUAGGAGGCACCAGCCACACUGUUUCACCAGGGGCUGUGAUCUGGGCCCCACCCUUGUGACUCUGGGGCUUCUGGAUGAUGACCUCUCCCCAGACCCCACCCAUGAUUUCCCCGUGGAUUGGUUAAAAAUUCAAUGCAAGGUCCAGGUCAAUAAUGCACCCAAAAUAAAGCUGAAAGUUACAA